This 253-nucleotide ribosomal RNA is filed under the name uncultured Chondromyces sp. RNAcentral describes it as "partial 16S ribosomal RNA". It matches the Rfam family "Bacterial small subunit ribosomal RNA", at positions 524 to 776 of the family's 1533-position model. The record is from RNAcentral. Lineage: Bacteria; Pseudomonadati; Myxococcota; Polyangiales; Polyangiaceae.
GACAGAGGGUGCAAACGUUGUUCGGAAUUACUGGGCGUAAAGCGCGUGUAGGCGGCGCGGCAAGUCGGGUGUGAAAGCCCUGGGCUCAACCCAGGAAGUGCACUCGAUACUGCCGAGCUCGAGUCCUGGAGAGGAUGGUGGAACUCUCGGUGUAGAGGUGAAAUUCGUAGAUAUCGAGAAGAACACCGGUGGCGAAGGCGGCCAUCUGGACAGUGACUGACGCUGAGACGCGAAAGCGUGGGGAGCAAACAGG